UAGACCAAAGUGGGGGACCUUCGGGCCUCAUGCCAUCAGAUGUGCCCAGAUGGGAUUAGCUAGUAGGUGGGGUAACGGCUCACCUAGGCGACGAUCCCUAGCUGGUCUGAGAGGAUGACCAGCCACACUGGAACUGAGACACGGUCCAGACUCCUACGGGAGGCAGCAGUGGGGAAUAUUGCACAAUGGGCGCAAGCCUGAUGCAGCCAUGCCGCGUGUGUGAAGAAGGCCUUCGGGUUGUAAAGCACUUUCAGCGGGGAGGAAGGCGAUAAGGUUAAUAACCUCAUCGAUUGACGUUACCCGCAGAAGAAGCACCGGCUAACUCCGUGCCGGCAGCCGCGGUAAUACGGAGGGUGCAAGCGUUAAUCGGAAUUACUGGGCGUAAAGCGCACGCAGGCGGUCUGUCAAGUCGGAUGUGAAAUCCCCGGGCUCAACCUGGGAACUGCAUUCGAAACUGGCAGGCUAGAGUCUUGUAGAGGGGGGUAGAAUUCCAGGUGUAGCGGUGAAAUGCGUAGAGAUCUGGAGGAAUACCGGUGGCGAAGGCGGCCCCCUGGACAAAGACUGACGCUCAGGUGCGAAAGCGUGGGGAGCAAACAGGAUUAGAUACCCUGGUAGUCCACGCUGUAAACGAUGUCGAUUUGGAGGUUGUGCCCUUGAGGCGUGGCUUCCGGAGCUAACGCGUUAAAUCGACCGCCUGGGGAGUACGGCCGCAAGGUUAAAACUCAAAUGAAUUGACGGGGGCCCGCACAAGCGGUGGAGCAUGUGGUUUAAUUCGAUGCAACGCGAAGAACCUUACCUGGUCUUGACAUCCACAGAACUUUCCAGAGAUGGAUUGGUGCCUUCGGGAACUGUGAGACAGGUGCUGCAUGGCUGUCGUCAGCUCGUGUUGUGAAAUGUUGGGUUAAGUCCCGCAACGAGCGCAACCCUUAUCCUUUGUUGCCAGCGGUCCGGCCGGGAACUCAAAGGAGACUGCCAGUGAUAAACUGGAGGAAGGUGGGGAUGACGUCAAGUCAUCAUGGCCCUUACGACCAGGGCUACACACGUGCUACAAUGGCAUAUACAAAGAGAAGCGACCUCGCGAGAGCAAGCGGACCUCAUAAAGUAUGUCGUAGUCCGGAUUGGAGUCUGCAACUCGACUCCAUGAAGUCGGAAUCGCUAGUAAUCGUAGAUCAGAAUGCUACGGUGAAUACGUUCCCGGGCCUUGUACACACCGCCCGUCACACCAUGGGAGUGGGUUGCAAAAGAAGUAGGUAGCUUAACCUUCGGGAGGGCGCUUACCACUUUGUGAUUCAUGACUGGGGUGAAGUCGUAACAAGGUAGCCGU
This 1324-nucleotide ribosomal RNA is filed under the name Klebsiella pneumoniae. RNAcentral's name for it is "bacterial SSU rRNA". It matches the Rfam family "Bacterial small subunit ribosomal RNA", at positions 197 to 1503 of the family's 1533-position model. Lineage: Bacteria; Pseudomonadati; Pseudomonadota; Gammaproteobacteria; Enterobacterales; Enterobacteriaceae. The record is from RNAcentral.